AUGGAGUUCUUGAUGCAGCCCGUAAAUAGGCAGCAGGACUCUAAUAGAAGAGGUCAACGAGAACAAGAUGAACAUGGAGCCUCUUCAUUACCCUGUGAGUCUAUGACGACGCGGCCGGUGGUGGAGUUGCCGGCCAACACGGAAUCAAGCGCCAACGACCAGAUUUGCACUGAGGGCGCUGUUCCAAGGGCAGGCAGUGCAGACAACCUCAAGCUUCAGAGCACUCCAUCGAGCAGGGUCCGGGUUGGGGCAGCUGAGCUAGGCAGAGCCCCAUGUGCUGAUAGGAUAUCAGGGCUGGAGAAAAUUGUUCAAAGAUUCAACCAGAAUGUGCUAUGGUUGUUGCAGGAGACAAAGUGCAUGGUGCCACAGCUAACAAUGAUGACAGUUCAGCUAAUGAGUCAGGGAAUAGCCUAG
This 414-nucleotide ribosomal RNA is filed under the name Triticum aestivum (bread wheat). RNAcentral's name for it is "partial small subunit ribosomal RNA". Lineage: Eukaryota; Viridiplantae; Streptophyta; Magnoliopsida; Poales; Poaceae. The record is from RNAcentral.